GCUGUGAUGGGGAGAAGACAUUGUGUCUUCGAGUCGUUGAUUUCACACUGCCGAGAAAAGCCUCUAGAUAGAAAAUAGGUGCCCGUACCGCAAACCGACACAGGUAGUCAAGAUGAGAAUUCUAAGGUGAGCGAGCGAACUCUCGUUAAGGAACUCGGCAAAAUGACCCCGUAACUUCGGGAGAAGGGGUGCUCUUUAGGGUUAACGCCCAGAAGAGCCGCAGUGAAUAGGCCCAAGCGACUGUUUAUCAAAAACACAGGUCUCUGCUAAACCGUAAGGUGAUGUAUAGGGGCUGACGCCUGCCCGGUGCUGGAAGGUUAAGAGGAGUGGUUAGCUUCUGCGAAGCUACGAAUCGAAGCCCCAGUAAACGGCGGCCGUAACUAUAACGGUCCUAAGGUAGCGAAAUUCCUUGUCGGGUAAGUUCCGACCCGCACGAAAGGCGUAACGAUUUGGGCACUGUCUCAACGAGAGACUCGGUGAAAUCAUAGUACCUGUGAAGAUGCAGGUUACCCGCGACAGGACGGAAAGACCCCGUGGAGCUUUACUGUAGCCUGAUAUUGAAAUUCGGCACAGCUUGUACAGGAUAGGUAGGAGCCUUUGAAACGUGAGCGCUAGCUUACGUGGAGGCGCUGGUGGGAUACUACCCUAGCUGUGUUGGCUUUCUAACCCGCACCACUUAUCGUGGUGGGAGACAGUGUCAGGCGGGCAGUUUGACUGGGGCGGUCGCCUCCUAAAAGGUAACGGAGGCGCUCAAAGGUUCCCUCAGAAUGGUUGGAAAUCAUUCAUAGAGUGUAAAGGCAUAAGGGAGCUUGACUGCGAGACCUACAAGUCGAGCAGGGUCGAAAGACGGACUUAGUGAUCCGGUGGUUCCGCAUGGAAGGGCCAUCGCUCAACGGAUAAAAGCUACCCCGGGGAUAACAGGCUUAUCUCCCCCAAGAGUUCACAUCGACGGGGAGGUUUGGCACCUCGAUGUCGGCUCAUCGCAUCCUGGGGCUGUAGUCGGUCCCAAGGGUUGGGCUGUUCGCCCAUUAAAGCGGUACGCGAGCUGGGUUCAGAACGUCGUGAGACAGUUCGGUCCCUAUCCGUCGUGGGCGUAGGAAAUUUGAGAGGAGCUGUCCUUAGUACGAGAGGACCGGGAUGGACAUACCUCUGGUGUACCAGUUGUCGUGCCAACGGCAUAGCUGGGUAGCUAUGUGUGGACGGGAUAAGUGCUGAAAGCAUCUAAGCAUGAAGCCCCCCUCAAGAUGAGAUUUCCCAACUUCGGUUAUAAGAUCCCUCAAAGAUGAUGAGGUUAAUAGGUUCGAGGUGGAAGCAUGGUGACAUGUGGAGCUGACGAAUACUAA
This 1343-nucleotide ribosomal RNA is filed under the name Staphylococcus aureus. RNAcentral's name for it is "partial 23S ribosomal RNA". It matches the Rfam family "Bacterial large subunit ribosomal RNA", at positions 1560 to 2904 of the family's 2925-position model. Lineage: Bacteria; Bacillati; Bacillota; Bacilli; Caryophanales; Staphylococcaceae. The record is from RNAcentral.